UAGACUCUACUGGCUUCUAAACCAUGCUGUC
RNAcentral lists this non-coding RNA (31 nucleotides) under Rattus norvegicus (Norway rat). Lineage: Eukaryota; Metazoa; Chordata; Mammalia; Rodentia; Muridae. The record is from RNAcentral.